AUGUAGUGUUAUAUUGGAUUCCUCUAAUGCAUCUGCAAUUUGGAAAAUGCCACUCUUAAAGAAUUUUUAUGUUGACGGAUUUCAUUUUACAUUAGAGACUUCGGAGGUUGUUCAUAGAAACAUAGAGACUAUAUCUUGGUUGCGUCCGUGGUGUUGUAGAUAUGAUCUUUUUACAAGGAUUCCAAAUUUAAAAAGAAUAGGGAUUCAAGGUCAAAUGUAUUUUGAAAAUGAAAAUUCAGAUGGUUUCUAUAAUUUUGUGCACUUGGAGCAGCUUGAGAAACUAAGCAUCAAAAGGUGGGAUCUCAAACUUCAGUAUAGUGGUAUCCCAUGGAAAACUAGUUUUCUACCCAAUCUUAAGAAGCUCAAAUUCUUUGAGACUAGGUUACCAUGGAGUGAUAUGAGGCUUAUUGGUAUGUUGCCGAAUCUAAAAGAUCUAAAAUUGAUACAUGCUUGUGAAGGCAGAGAGUGGAAGCCAUGUUUGGGAGGGUUCUGUCAAUUGAAAAGGUUGGUAAUUAAAAGUUGGACUUGGAAAUAUUGGAAUGCUGUGGGUGAUCAUUUCCCUGUGCUUCAACAUUUAGAGUUAAGUUGCAGUUCUUUGCGAGAGAUCCCUAUUGCGUUUGCCAAUAUUACCACACUUGAAUUGAUUCAAUUAAAAUACUGCUGGGAUUUCGUUUUGACUUCUGUGAAGCUUAUUCAAGAUGAGCAGCGAAGCUAUGGAAAUGAAGCCCUCCUUGUUCGUUCUAAAUAUAUUCGGCAUCUAUGACGAUAGUACACUUCUCAAAUUAAAGGAAGGAUGUGACGAGGACAACUACAAAGAUUGUGUGGCGAUGAAUUGAAAAGUUAGGAGGCACAAAGCUAAGCAGAGAUGAUGAUGAUGGAAUAAGGAUGUUAUGUAGGUGUUGUUGAGUGAUGAUGGAUAUGAUGUUGUGGUAGCAUAGCAGGAGAUGUAAUAUAUGAAUGGAAAAUUUUAUAUGUAGUCCCAUUUUCUAUUCCAAUCUUUUACUCUCAAGGAUGGAUGUGCGUGAAUAGGAGGAAGACAGUGAGUAAUAUGCUGAAUAAAUAAUUUCACCAGGACUAUGUGGUCUAAUGGUACCCGGGUUGAACUUCUAUUUGGAAGGUUGUAAAUCCAAGCCUUA
Ipomoea nil (Japanese morning glory) is the source of this 1136-nucleotide RNA transcript. RefSeq lists it as uncharacterized. The record is from RefSeq and is a predicted model, not a curated record. Lineage: Eukaryota; Viridiplantae; Streptophyta; Magnoliopsida; Solanales; Convolvulaceae. The transcript has 3 exons.